RNAcentral lists this ribosomal RNA (2901 nucleotides) under Proteus vulgaris. Its description in RNAcentral is "bacterial LSU rRNA". It matches the Rfam family "Bacterial large subunit ribosomal RNA". The record is from RNAcentral. Lineage: Bacteria; Pseudomonadati; Pseudomonadota; Gammaproteobacteria; Enterobacterales; Morganellaceae.
UUAAGCGAAUAAGCGUACACGGUGGAUGCCUAGGCAAUCAGAGGCGAUGAAGGACGUGCUAAUCUGCGAUAAGCGUCGGUAAGGUGAUAUGAACCGUUAUACCCGACGAUUUCCGAAUGGGGAAACCCAAUAUCCAAUGGAUAUUAUCAUGACGUGAAUACAUAGCGUCAUGAAGCGAACCGGGAGAACUGAAACAUCUCAGUACCCCGAGGAAAAGAAAUCAACCGAGAUUCCCCUAGUAGCGGCGAGCGAACGGGGAAUAGCCCAGAGUCUUAAUCAACAGCAGCAUCAGGAGAACGGUCUGGAAAGUCCGGCAGUAAAGGGUGAUAGCCCCGUAUCUGAAGAUGCUGUUAUUGUGAACUCGACGAGUAGGGCGGGACACGUGUUAUCCUGUCUGAAUAUGGGGGGACCAUCCUCCAAGGCUAAAUACUCCUGAUUGACCGAUAGUGAACCAGUACCGUGAGGGAAAGGCGAAAAGAACCCCGGCGAGGGGAGUGAAAAAGAACCUGAAACCGUGUACGUACAAGCAGUAGGAGCCUCUUUAUGGGGUGACUGCGUACCUUUUGUAUAAUGGGUCAGCGACUUAUAUUCUGUAGCAAGGUUAACCGUAUAGGGGAGCCGUAGGGAAACCGAGUCUUAACUGGGCGAAUGAGUUGCAGGGUAUAGACCCGAAACCCGGUGAUCUAUCCAUGGGCAGGUUGAAGGUUGGGUAACACUAACUGGAGGACCGAACCGACUAAUGUUGAAAAAUUAGCGGAUGACUUGUGGAUGGGGGUGAAAGGCCAAUCAAACCGGGAGAUAGCUGGUUCUCCCCGAAAGCUAUUUAGGUAGCGCCUCGUGAACUCAUCUUCGGGGGUAGAGCACUGUUUCGACUAGGGGGUCAUCCCGACUUACCAACUCGAUGCAAACUGCGAAUACCGAAGAAUGUUAUCACGGGAGACACACGGCGGGUGCUAACGUCCGUCGUGAAGAGGGAAACAACCCAGACCGCCAGCUAAGGUCCCAAAGUCAUGGUUAAGUGGGAAACGAAGUGGGAAGGCUCAGACAGCCAGGAUGUUGGCUUAGAAGCAGCCAUCAUUUAAAGAAAGCGUAAUAGCUCACUGGUCGAGUCGGCCCGCGCGGAAGAUGUAACGGGGCUAAACCAUGCACCGAAGCUGCGGCAGCGACACUAUGUGUUGUUGGGUAGGGGAGCGUUCUGUAAGCCUGCGAAGGUGUACUGUGAGGUAUGCUGGAGGUAUCAGAAGUGCGAAUGCUGACAUAAGUAACGAUAAUGCGGGUGAAAAACCCGCACGCCGGAAGACCAAGGGUUCCUGUCCAACGUUAAUCGGGGCAGGGUGAGUCGACCCCUAAGGCGAGGCUGAAAAGCGUAGUCGAUGGGAAACGGGUUAAUAUUCCCGUACUGGUGGUAACUGCGAUGGGGGAACGGAGAAGGCUAGGUUGUCCGGGCGACGGUCGUCCCGGUUCAAGCAUGUAGGCAGAGUGAUUAGGCAAAUCCGGUCACUUAAUGCUGAGGUGUGAUGACGAGCCACUAAGGUGGUGAAGCAAUUGAUGCCCUGCUUCCAGGAAAAGCCUCUAAGCUUCAGGUUACCAACAAUCGUACCCCAAACCGACACAGGUGGUCAGGUAGAGAAUACUCAGGCGCUUGAGAGAACUCGGGUGAAGGAACUAGGCAAAAUGGUGCCGUAACUUCGGGAGAAGGCACGCUGGCGGUAAGUGAAGUCCCUUGCGGACGGAGCCGAAGCCAGUCGAAGAUACCAGCUGGCUGCAACUGUUUAUUAAAAACACAGCACUGUGCAAACACGAAAGUGGACGUAUACGGUGUGACGCCUGCCCGGUGCUGGAAGGUUAAUUGAUGGGGUUAUCCGUAAGGAGAAGCUCUUGAUCGAAGCCCCAGUAAACGGCGGCCGUAACUAUAACGGUCCUAAGGUAGCGAAAUUCCUUGUCGGGUAAGUUCCGACCUGCACGAAUGGCGUAAUGAUGGCCAGGCUGUCUCCACCCGAGACUCAGUGAAAUUGAACUCGCUGUGAAGAUGCAGUGUACCCGCGGCAAGACGGAAAGACCCCGUGAACCUUUACUAUAGCUUGACACUGAACAUUGAGCCUUGAUGUGUAGGAUAGGUGGGAGACUUAGAAGUGUGGACGCCAGUCUGCAUGGAGUCAACCUUGAAAUACCACCCUUUAACGUUUGAUGUUCUAACCUAGGUCCAUAAUCUGGAUCGGGGACCGUGUCUGGUGGGUAGUUUGACUGGGGCGGUCUCCUCCUAAAGAGUAACGGAGGAGCACGAAGGUUGGCUAAGCAUGGUCGGACAUCAUGCGGUUAGUGCAAAGGCAUAAGCCAGCUUGACUGUGAGAGUGACGGCUCGAGCAGGUACGAAAGUAGGUCUUAGUGAUCCGGUGGUUCUGAAUGGAAGGGCCAUCGCUCAACGGAUAAAAGGUACUCCGGGGAUAACAGGCUGAUACCGCCCAAGAGUUCAUAUCGACGGCGGUGUUUGGCACCUCGAUGUCGGCUCAUCACAUCCUGGGGCUGAAGUAGGUCCCAAGGGUAUGGCUGUUCGCCAUUUAAAGUGGUACGCGAGCUGGGUUUAGAACGUCGUGAGACAGUUCGGUCCCUAUCUGCCGUGGGCGUUGGAAGAUUGAGAGGGGUUGCUCCUAGUACGAGAGGACCGGAGUGAACGCACCACUGGUGUUCGGGUUGUCAUGCCAAUGGCAUUGCCCGGUAGCUAAGUGCGGAAGAGAUAACCGCUGAAAGCAUCUAAGCGGGAAACUUGCCUCGAGAUGAGUCUUCCCUGUCACCUUGAGUGACCUAAAGGAACGUUUAAGACUAAGACGUUGAUAGGCUGGGUGUGUAAGCGUAGCGAUACGUUGAGCUAACCAGUACUAAUGAACCGUGAGGCUUAACCUG